Non-coding RNA from Paramuricea clavata, 664 nucleotides. The record is from the annotation of a GenBank genome assembly. Lineage: Eukaryota; Metazoa; Cnidaria; Anthozoa; Malacalcyonacea; Plexauridae.
GUCAUUUUUUCGGGCGAAAUAUUUCUUUUUUCGGGCCAAAAUAUUUGUGUUUUGGGGGCAAUGAACCGAAAUUUGGUAUAGAAAAUUGCGGAAAAGUCCAACGAAAGCAAUUAUAACGCACCUAAAAAGAAUUUAUUGUGCGAAAAAUUUUUUGCAAUAGGGGCCCCUAAAAAUUUUUUUGCUCCGGGCCCCCGCCAAGCUCUCAGCGGCCCUGUCAAUUAGUGAACUUUUGAACAAGCUCUCUGCCACAUUUCGCCGUCUGUGAAAAAAGGACAGCCAAUGUAACCUCGUUCGCAGGGCAUUCCCAGCCGAACGAAGUUUUGCAGUGAAACGUGUAAGUCUCUGUGUUGCAUAACGGUAGUUGCAUGCAGCCGAGACACAGGGCCUUCUAUUUGCAUUUCAGAUCGACUUAAAGUGCUUUUUCACACGAGAGGACUGGAACGCCUCGUGACGUCAUGAAGUCGAUUAAACCUUAGGUCCUGCAAAUCGACUGCCACCUGCCGAGAGAAGCUUGGCCGCAGGUCUGUCUAGGUGUUGCAUGUACUCUGGAGUUAGCACUAUUUUCCAUUCAGCAAACUGACGUCAUUUUCGGAAGAUGGAAGAGGUGCUAAAUGGCUAUGUAACUAACCCAAACCCUACCUCUACUCUAACCGCAACUCUAACC